This 372-nucleotide RNase P RNA is filed under the name Clostridiaceae bacterium. RNAcentral's name for it is "RNase P RNA component class A". It matches the Rfam family "Bacterial RNase P class A". From Rfam's summary of the family: Ribonuclease P (RNase P) is a ubiquitous endoribonuclease, found in archaea, bacteria and eukarya as well as chloroplasts and mitochondria. The record is from RNAcentral. Lineage: Bacteria; Bacillati; Bacillota; Clostridia; Eubacteriales; Clostridiaceae.
CGAGUAGGCCGGAUGGUCGCGGGCGCAGUGCUGAAAAGCCGCGCACGAGGAAAGUCCGGGCUCCAUAGGGCAAAGGUGCCGGGUAAUCCCCGGUGAAGGCGACUUCAAGGAUAGUGCAACAGAAAUAAACCGCCAUACCCAUAGAAAGGAGCAAUCCUGAAGGGUAAGGUAAGGAUGGAAAGGCGAGGUAAGAGCUCACCGGCCCCACGGCGACGUGGGGUGCUCUGUAAACCCCACCUGGAGCAACACCGUGACAAGGAACAUAAAGGGCGGCCCGUCCGUUCCUUAGAGGUGGCUGGAGCCUUGUAGCAAUACAAGGCCUAGACAGAUGAUCAUUCAAGACAGAACCCGGCUUACAGGUCUACUCUAUAU